UAUAGCUCAUUAUUUGUUCACUUUGUUACAGCAAUUUUUCAUUUUCUUGAAAAAGCUUUUAAAUAAUUUUAAGGUUGUCAUAAGGAUAGUGUAUUAAUUUACGGGGAAUACCAGAAUGAUUUUGUAUUAUUUCAACAAAAAAUUUAACAUUUAUUUCACCAAAACUACUUAAGGACUGCGUCGUAUAAAAUUGUCCGUUACAUUUUUUUCCAUAUCGUGCAAUUAAAAUUUUUAAAUAAACAAAUUUUUAUCUUAGUAGCUCUGAAAUAAAUGCCAAAAAAUAUUAUGCAUUCGUUAGAGUCAAUAAAAAUUUAUUUAACGCGAAAAUGGCAAGCGAAGUGGAAGUGCGCGAAAAAAUUAUUAAAUUUUUUCAAAAGAAACCGCAGUGGUCGUUUAAGAAAAUUGCCAAAAAGGUAGGGGCUAACCCUAAAACCAUUUCUCGCGUUAUUAAACACUUUAAGGAAAAUGUGCGUAUUGACAGGAAGAAAGGUUCUGGUAAAAAGACGGGGCCACAUGAUAGGGAGCAGGCGAAGAACGUUGUUACCAUUCUCAAGAAAGACCCAAGCAUUUCGGGCAGCAAAUUGGCGAGGAAGACUGGCUGCUCAGAAUCUUUCGUACGCAGGAGGAAGAAAGAAGCUGGGCUGAAGACGUACAAGGUACAGAAAGUUUCGGAUAGAAACGCCGUCAAGAACGAAACCGCAAAACAACGAGCUAAAAAGCUGAGGAAAGAUUUUGUCAAUAAAUUCGAAUGUUGCAUAAUGGAUGACGAGACCUACGUUUUAGCGGACUUUUCUCAGCAACCUGGACAAGAUUUUUUAUUUUUUAUUUUUUUUUUUCGAGGAAAUUUUGCUGAAAAAUUCAAAGCCAAAAAGGUGACAAAAUUUCAAAAGAAAUUUCUUGUGGCAAAAGGAGCAGCUCAUUCGUUUCAUCGGGUAAAAUUAACAGCGAAAUAUAUGUGAAGGAAUGUUUACAAAAGAGAUUGCUCCCAUUUUUAAGCCAACAUGAAGUGUCCACGUUUUUUUCGCCUGACCUCGCUUCAUGUCACUAUAGCAAAACAGCCUUAGAGUGGUUCCAAUGGAAUGGAGUGAUUUAUGUACCAAGAGAAGCAAAUCCACCUAACUGUCCAGAACUAAGGCCGAUUGAGAGAUACUGGGCUUUAGUAAAAAGGGAGAUGAAGGCAACAAAAAAAGUGACCAAAGACCUUCAAAAUUUUAAAAGAAAUUGGUCUUCAGCAGCUAUGAGAGUAUUGGACACUACCAUAAAAGCACUAAUGGACGGGGUUCCGGAAAAAUAAAAAUAUUUAUUAAUAAAUUUGAAAUAAAUGUUCUUAAUAAAAUAUUUUAGUUUAUAAAAAUCGGACAACUGGUUUAAAAGAUUUUUUAAUUUUUGUAACGGACAAUUUUAUUCCACGCAGUCCUUAUGUAUUAUGCCUAUUAACGAAUGACGGUAUACGCAACAUCUUUAUAAUACAGUUUUGUAGAUACUUCAAAAUAUUUCAUUCGCUUUUAAUUUUGCCAAUUUAGGAGAACUUCCAUUUUAUUCUUAUAGAUAUUUUUUGUAAUAGUAAACAAAUCGUAAAAACUUAAAAUUCAUUCAGAUACCAAUAAUGUUAUCGGAAUGAAACGAAUAGAACCGUUGAAAAGUGCUGUAUCGCACAUCUAAAAUAGGAGCCACAAGCAUCAAAUAUCAACUAUAUUCUUUGCCAAACUGUACUUAAUGAAAUACAGAGAGUUUUUUCUUAUAUUUUAAAGAAAUUAAGUAAACGUGAAAUAAAUCAAUUUAAAGCCUUGGUCUAGACCCGUAUCCUUAAUAUAAUGAUUUCCAGCCAUCUGAUGAACGUAUUCAUGUAUUUAAGCUCGUCUCUUUAGUUUGAUCAUUUUAAAUGAGGGCAAUCUCAGUGAGGAUCGUGGGCAACUCAAAGAUAUUCCCACGCUAAAGGGAGAACCAGAAACUUUGUUUACUUUCAUCAGUAGAGUUGACUAUAUUUUUGGCUUUACCAAACUAAUAACCUACGUCAACAGCGCAUUCUAUUCGGAACUGUCGAACGAAACCUGAAUGGUCUUGUAACCAGAUCCUAACAAACAUCGAAAAUUGGCCAACCCUGAAGCUUAGAUUGAUUGCGGAGUACAAACCCCAGACACCAACUACAAAUUGUUGGAGAACUUCCGCAAACCCUUUACAAGGAGAGUCUGCGAGCAUUCUGCGAGGAAGCUGAGAGACGACGACAACUGCUGGUAUCAAAACUGCACCUAGAAGGUAAUCAGUUCUAGAAACAGCUGUGGACUCUUUUACAAAUUCAAUUUUUAAAGGCCUGCAGAACCUGGUAGAAGCUGGGCGCGGAUUUUGCCACAUAAUUUUGCUUCCACAAAUCAACCUGAUUGGAACAAUACAGGUGAUGAAAACUGAUGAAUCAUUUGCACCCGGAUUAUGGUACGCUUGCUUAUAUGAGCUGUGUCCAGAGCUUCCAUCGAAUCCCCACUUAGUGUACAAGCAUAAAUUCGUCAUUUCCUCAUCGUUCAAUGUUUUAAUUACGUUAUUUUGGGCUAAAGUUAUACGCUCAGUGGUAUGGUCUAAAAGGGCUUGCAAGCUUACUUGUGCUGAAAUCUCGCAAAAAUGCAUGCUCUCACGUCUAGGAUAACAAUCUUUUUUUGCUGAUUGGACAUAUGAAUAGCAAGGAAACCUAUCUGGAGCAGAUUGCCUUAUAACAUUGUACUGUUGUCGAGAUAACUUUGCUUCCACCAAAACAAAUAAAGCGUCUUCUUUGGACAUUUGCUGUGAUAGUGAUGAUUUGGCAAUACUUUUAUGAAAUUUUUCGCUCUCGAUGGUGAACUUGCAACCUCUUUCACUAACUUUGACGCUUCCACUUGCCCUGAAGCUCUAAAACUCAUUUGUGCAGCAUAAGCUAAUAAAGGCAAAGGCAACUAUCACUUAAAAAUUUACUUUUUUUUGCUUCGUUUUCUCAUUUGAUUCUUCAAAUGAAAGUUCUUUGCGGCCACGUUUCAUUCCUUGUGAAUGGGUGAAACCUAUCAAAAAAUCCAGCUAACUUUGGUUUAUUCUAAGGAAACGCUCUUCAUUCCUAUUGGCUCUGCUCCAACGAAUUUUAAAUUGACUAAUAAAGGUUUUUAUCCUGUCAUCAAACUCUUUUAUAAAUUCAUCAGAUGGCUCAAUACGCUUUUUCAAUUGCUCUUUUAAAAAUUCAAAUUUUUCAUUAAAUUUAUCACAGCCAGAGUUUUUCAUUAUGUCAUAAAGAUUUUGACGAGGAACCCAAAUUACAUUAGAACUGGUUCCUAUAAGGAAGAUAAUAAUAUUUUUAUCCUCUUUAAAUGUAGUCAAUGUCGGUAUCGCUUUUACCAUGUUAGUUAAAUAUUCAUCACUAUUGUUAUUUCUCUCGACUGCACAUGACAUACAAACAUUAGUAAUAAAAAUUGCGCGGGAAAAAACAAUGUCGGUUAUCAUGAUUUUACAUAUACCCUAAACCUUAGAUAAGAACCUUAUGCCAUAUUAAUUAAUUAUUACAAAAUGUAAGAAAUCAAAAUUUUAUUUCAAAAAUGUAUGUGAUGAUGUUUAUUAUUAUA
This is a long non-coding RNA of Bactrocera neohumeralis, 3575 nucleotides long. RefSeq lists it as uncharacterized. Lineage: Eukaryota; Metazoa; Arthropoda; Insecta; Diptera; Tephritidae. The transcript has 2 exons. The record is from RefSeq and is a predicted model, not a curated record.